UACAGUCGCCAUUAAUGCUGUGUAGCUUUUGAUUCAGACCAUUUUGUGGAGAGAGGUGAGGCAGCGAAUGCAGUAGCGACACGAGUACUACGUAUGUGUUGUAAUAAAAAUGUCGUAACCCGUAGCCUACUAGCCUACUACUGUCUACUGACGCCUGACGGUGGUGGUUCUGACAACAUCCCUCUCUCGCCCUGAAAAAGAAGACCAUUUUCAUUUCUCGCCAGUCGAGUGGGAUGCCCACCUUUUGUUUUGAAACAAAUCCGAAAAGCUAUGGUAUUGGUCGUCAUUGUCCACUCACUUUUCAGUCUCCGCCAUUGCUCAGUCAUCUGCCAACCGCUAAUCAUUACUCCGUACUUUGUAUUUAUUGGCGUUUUCUUGAAGGGAUUGUGUUUGAAGAAAUGCGCAGCAGAACCCAAGUAUGAAGUGCUAGUCUGGAAGACCAUGCAUGGAGUAUUGGAGGAAGUGGGGGAAGAAUAGAGAUAUGAAUCUCUGAGGUAAUGGAAAGACCCCAAGAAUGAUUCGCUUCCUUAUUGGCUAAUUGUCGCCCAUUCAUAACGUCCUGGCAGAGGCAAAUCGUUCACAAUGUCAAAGUUAUA
Molecule: long non-coding RNA, 596 nt
Organism: Ipomoea triloba (trilobed morning glory)
Lineage: Eukaryota; Viridiplantae; Streptophyta; Magnoliopsida; Solanales; Convolvulaceae
Exons: 3
Source: RefSeq, a predicted model, not a curated record